GUUAACUUUCAUGUAAUGUAAACCUAAACUCAUCAGGAAUUGAGCCCUAGGUGCUAUAACUCUAUCCAUCUGUAAUAUCCUCUAAAAUCCUGAGAAAUUACAUAUAACUCUCCCAUUACAUAGAUGAGGAAACAAGCUAUGCGAUCCUUCUGAGGUUGGAUUAUGACCAGGCCAGAUGUUGAGUACUUGGUGCUUUGACCUUCUGCAGAUUGUUGUGCUGACCUCCAGUUCUGUUUGCAGUAAGGAGUAUUCACUUAGCCAACAAGUAUUUACAGAGUGCCAGGUAGCUCAUCUAAAUAGCAGUGGGAUUAAAGAGAUAAGAAGGGGUACAGUCUUGCAUUCCAGGAAGGAGCUCCCCUAAGAGUGAGGAGACUGCCAGGUAAACAAAUGGUUCCAGAAUAGUCCAGUGAGACUUGCGAGGAGUCUGAACAGGGGGCCACCGGAAGCCUUGAGAGCAAAAACGCAGCGGGUAGG
Molecule: long non-coding RNA, 474 nt
Filed under: Marmota monax (woodchuck)
Lineage: Eukaryota; Metazoa; Chordata; Mammalia; Rodentia; Sciuridae
Source: RNAcentral